CGGGGGGAGCAAGCGUUGUUCGGAUUUACUGGGCGUAAAGGGCGCGUAGGCGGCCACCGCAAGUCGACUGUGAAAUCUCCGGGCUUAACCCGGAACGGUCAGCCGAUACUGCGGGGCUAGAGUGCAGAAGGGGCAACUGGAAUUCUCGGUGUAGCGGUGAAAUGCGUAGAUAUCGAGAGAAACACCUGCGGCGAAGGCGGGUUGCUGGGCUGACACUGACGCUGAUGCGCGAAAGCUAGGGGAGCGAACGGGAUUAGAUACCCCGGUAGUCCUAGCCUUAAACGAUGAAUGCUUGGUGUCUGGGGUUCUAUAGUCCCCGGGUGCCGUCGCUAACGCUUUAAGCAUUCCGCCUGGGGAGUACGGUCGCAAGACUG
Molecule: ribosomal RNA, 374 nt
Filed under: uncultured organism
Description: bacterial SSU rRNA
Rfam family: Bacterial small subunit ribosomal RNA
Source: RNAcentral